UCUAGUGACCAAACUAAAACGGGCCGAAUUAUUUAUCUCUGGCCCAUUGUAAUAACUCCGCAAGCCCGUUAAAUGGGAAACCCUAGAUGGCGAGAAGGAUCUCCGCUCCCAUAUAUAAAUAAUAACGAUGAACUCCAAUUUUGAAAGUACAACCUAUCUAACACUUUCAUCAGCAGCAGCUUCCAUCCUCGUCUAAAUCACUUUUGACAGUUUCACAGAGGAGGCAUGCAAUGGUUACAACAACUCUCUUGAUGAUCUAAAGCUAUAUGUGCAUUCUCGUCUGGCCACGGUUCCUGUGACUUCAAGAUACUGAUAGUGGUAGUUCGUAUCAGUUUCAGAGUUGUUGGGUGUUUUAGAAUCAGAUGAUCAGCAAGAACUACAGCUGAUCAUACAACUUCGGAGAAGAAUUUCCUCAAGAUAUAGGAAGCAUUGAAUAGCAAAACCUAGAGGGUCUGAGAUGAUGAAAGACAAGAUUGGUGAUUGUGGUGCAUCAGCUUUUACAGUAGUGCAAUGAAGUUAGUUGUAACAGUUGUUAGCGAAGAGGACUAGUGAACAUUUGUGGAGGAUAUGAAUGGUAUAUGUGAAGACGUUUGUUGUGGUCUUUUUACUGAUGUAUGUUUGUUGUACAAUUACCUGAAAAAAUACAUAAAUCUAAACCCCUGGAUCCAAAAUCA
This is a long non-coding RNA of Brassica napus (rape), 674 nucleotides long. RefSeq lists it as uncharacterized. Lineage: Eukaryota; Viridiplantae; Streptophyta; Magnoliopsida; Brassicales; Brassicaceae. The transcript has 2 exons. The record is from RefSeq and is a predicted model, not a curated record.